Molecule: long non-coding RNA, 1055 nt
Organism: Hordeum vulgare subsp. vulgare (domesticated barley)
Lineage: Eukaryota; Viridiplantae; Streptophyta; Magnoliopsida; Poales; Poaceae
Exons: 2
Source: RefSeq, a predicted model, not a curated record
ACCAACUCUAACCCACCUGUUUGGAUUUUUGAGGGUUAGAUGAGUUCAAUAUAACCAACUCUAACUCUAACCCUAGAAUCCAAGCAGGGCCUAAGAGAGUUGUGCAGGCCUUGUGUUGAAUGUUUUGCCCUCCGAUAGACCCCUAAGAAGGCCCACCAGGAACAGAGUUGUUGCUCGGGGGAGUUGAAGGUGCUCGGGGAAGGCCCCACGCACUUCCCCUGGCUCCUUAUGUUUGGCUGUCAUCAUGCUCGGGGGCGACACCUUGCCCAAGUUGGUCGGGGACAGGGCCGGCUUUGGCCCAGUGCGAGAGGUGCGACGGCCUACGGCCCGGCCUAAAGAGGGGCCCAUAGUAUAUAUGUCAAAGUAAAGGUAAAAAAAUCCAGAAAUAACUCACGUUCAGCCCGGCCCAGCAAGCAGCCACGCACGAGACCACCAGGUUUGUGAGCCACGGUUGCCGUUUUGUUUCCUUAAUCCUCUCUUGAUUCUUCUUGAUCAAAUCGGAAAUCAGAAAGCGGCGAACACGCACAAGGAAACAGGGAGCACGGACAGGCAACAUACAGCGGCACCUGCGCAUAGCACUGAACCAGGAGCUGAGUUUGGGGAUCACGGACAGGCGACGCAUGGCGGCACCGGCACACCGCAUGGUGGCGCCGAACCAGGAGCUGAGUUUAGGGAUCAAAUCGGCAAGAUCAUCAUUCAAAAGUGUCUCAAGAAAGACUGAAUGGUUUGGCUAUGUGCUGCAUUGAGAAGAAUAUGCUGGAUAGUAUUGAUCUUGACACUCUCAUUGAUGAUUUUGCGUCAAAAAAUACACAGAAGUCUCGUUUCCCAUGAUUACUGAAGGUUAGCAUGCUAUUUUUAUAUGUUUUAGUAUAAAAGAUUAGUUUUAUGAAUUUAUAGCAAUUGUACAUGUUCAUGUAUCGAAUAUGAUUCUUCUCACUGUUGGGCCCAUCGAUGAAGUUCGCACUGGGGCCUUUGAAAUCACAGAGCCGGCCCUGGUCGGGGAACCGUGCUCGGGGGAGUCAGUCCUGAGUACUGAUCAUUAGUGCUUUUUCUCC